GCUUGGCUUCUUUGCUGACGAGUGGCGGACGGGUGAGUAAUGUCUGGGAAACUGCCUGAUGGAGGGGGAUAACUACUGGAACGGUAGCUAAUACCGCAUAACGUCGCAAGACCAAAGAGGGGGACCUUCGGGCCUCUUGCCAUCGGAUGUGCCCAGAUGGGAUUAGCUAGUAGGUGGGGUAACGGCUCACCUAGGCGACGAUCCCUAGCUGGUCUGAGAGGAUGACCAGCCACACUGGAACUGAGACACGGUCCAGACUCCUACGGGAGGCAGCAGUGGGGAAUAUUGCACAAUGGGCGCAAGCCUGAUGCAGCCAUGCCGCGUGUAUGAAGAAGGCCUUCGGGUUGUAAAGUACUUUCAGCGGGGAGGAAGGGAGUAAAGUUAAUACCUUUGCUCAUUGACGUUACCCGCAGAAGAAGCACCGGCUAACUCCGUGCCAGCAGCCGCGGUAAUACGGAGGGUGCAAGCGUAAUCGGAAUUACUGGGCGUAAAGCGCACGC
RNAcentral lists this ribosomal RNA (500 nucleotides) under Escherichia coli. RNAcentral describes it as "bacterial SSU rRNA". It matches the Rfam family "Bacterial small subunit ribosomal RNA", at positions 71 to 572 of the family's 1533-position model. The record is from RNAcentral. Lineage: Bacteria; Pseudomonadati; Pseudomonadota; Gammaproteobacteria; Enterobacterales; Enterobacteriaceae.